RNAcentral lists this ribosomal RNA (487 nucleotides) under uncultured bacterium. RNAcentral's name for it is "partial 16S ribosomal RNA". It matches the Rfam family "Bacterial small subunit ribosomal RNA", at positions 28 to 507 of the family's 1533-position model. The record is from RNAcentral.
GACGAACGCUGGCGGCGUGCUUAACACAUGCAAGUCGAACGGAAAGGCCCUCAUCUUGGUGGGUGUGCUCGAGUGGCGAACGGGUGAGUCACACGUGGGUGAUCUGCCCUGUACUUCGGGAUAAGCUUGGGAAACUGGCUCUUAUACCGGAUAGGCCCCUGGUGUAGUGUGUCGUGGUGGAAAGAUCGUUGUUUUGGUGCGGGAUGAGCUCGCGGCCUCUGAGCUUGUUGGUGGGGUAAUGGCCUGCCAGGGCGGGGACGGGUAGCCGGCGUGGGAGGGUGGACGGCAACAGUGGGACGGAGACACGGCGCAGACGCCUACGCGAGGCAGCCGUGGGGAGGAAUGCACGAGGGGCGUAAGCCUGAGGCAGCGACGCCGAGGGGGGGAUGACGGGCGUGGGGUGGUGGACUCCUGGUGGUAAGGACGAAGCCACGGUGAUGGGGUGUGGGGGCCGGACCUGGGUAAAGAAGCACCGGCUAACUACGUG